CGGUAUAUAUACCAUGGUAUCGAUAUUGUUCAGCAUCAGUUGAAUUUGAUUGAAAAUGCACUUCACAUUGUUUGCACUUUUAGCUCUUUUGAGCGUUCUUUUGAUGACAGGAGUUGCUAAUGCACAAAUCUGUCGAAAUUCGGGUCAGAGUUGUCAAAGAAACAGGCAAUGUUGCAGCGAAGUCUGCCAAUCAAGAUCAAAAACUUGCAAGUAAUUGACGCCAGGUGAUGAAAAUAUUCGUGGAUUGUACUUAUAUGAAGACUAUUGCAUAUUUUGAAUGUUGAAACUCUAAAUAAACUUGGAUAUUAAA
Leptopilina heterotoma is the source of this 310-nucleotide long non-coding RNA. RefSeq lists it as uncharacterized. The transcript is spliced from 2 exons. Lineage: Eukaryota; Metazoa; Arthropoda; Insecta; Hymenoptera; Figitidae. The record is from RefSeq and is a predicted model, not a curated record.